Molecule: ribosomal RNA, 253 nt
Filed under: uncultured bacterium
Lineage: Bacteria
Description: partial 16S ribosomal RNA
Rfam family: Bacterial small subunit ribosomal RNA
Source: RNAcentral
UACGUAGGGGGCUAGCGUUGUCCGGAAUCAUUGGGCGUAAAGAGCGUGUAGGCGGCUCGAUAAGUCCGCUGUGAAAGUCCAGGGCUCAACCCUGGAAAGCCGGUGGAUACUGUCGGGCUAGAGUCCGGAAGAGGCGAGUGGAAUUCCUGGUGUAGCGGUGAAAUGCGCAGAUAUCAGGAGGAACACCGAUUGCGAAGGCAGCUCGCUGGGACGGUACUGACACUGAGACGCGAAAGCGUGGGGAGCAAACAGG